CACCCAACAGCUAGCUCACCCCUAAAAAUCAACACAACCAUAUCUAUACCCCCUAAUACACUCAACCUUUAAAACAAACCAUUUUACCCCCUUAGUACGGGCGACGGAAAAG
RNAcentral lists this ribosomal RNA (112 nucleotides) under Plectroglyphidodon altus (Japanese gregory). RNAcentral's name for it is "partial 16S ribosomal RNA". The record is from RNAcentral. Lineage: Eukaryota; Metazoa; Chordata; Actinopteri; Pomacentridae.